Molecule: ribosomal RNA, 372 nt
Filed under: uncultured organism
Description: bacterial SSU rRNA
Rfam family: Bacterial small subunit ribosomal RNA
Source: RNAcentral
CGUAGGUGGCAAGCGUUGUCCGGAAUUAUUGGGCGUAAAGCGCGCGCAGGCGGUCCUUUAAGUCUGAUGUGAAAGCCCACGGCUCAACCGUGGAGGGUCAUUGGAAACUGGGGGACUUGAGUGCAGAAGAGGAGAGCGGAAUUCCACGUGUAGCGGUGAAAUGCGUAGAGAUGUGGAGGAACACCAGUGGCGAAGGCGGCUCUCUGGUCUGUAACUGACGCUGAGGCGCGAAAGCGUGGGGAGCGAACAGGAUUAGAUACCCUGGUAGUCCACGCCGUAAACGAUGAGUGCUAAGUGUUAGAGGGUUUCCGCCCUUUAGUGCUGCAGCAAACGCAUUAAGCACUCCGCCUGGGGAGUACGGCCGCAAGGCUG